RNAcentral lists this long non-coding RNA (1081 nucleotides) under Macaca fascicularis (crab-eating macaque). RNAcentral's name for it is "lncRNA (ENSMFAG00000062191.1)". The record is from RNAcentral. Lineage: Eukaryota; Metazoa; Chordata; Mammalia; Primates; Cercopithecidae.
AUCAUUGCCAUCACUAUCAUCAUCACCAUCACCAUUGUCAUCAUCACCACCACCAUCACCAUUAUCACCAUCUUCACCAUCACCAUCAUAAUCACCAUCACCAUCAUCAUCACCGUCACUAUCCUUACUAUCACAAUCAUCACCAUCAUCAUCAUUACUAUCAUCAUCACCAUUAUCACCAUCACUAUCAUUACCAUCACCAUCAUCACCAUUACUGUCAUCAUCACCAUCACCAUUAUUGCCAUCAUCACCAUCACCAUAAUCCUUGCCAUCAUCAUCACCAAAAUCAUCACCAUCACCAUCCCUAUCAUCACCACCAUUAUCACCAUCACAUGCCAGUAGUGAGAUGUAAAACAAAUGAAAUUAUCACACAUUGCUGAUGGAAGCUUGGAAAGAGAGAGAGAGAAAAGAAAGAGAGUGGAAAGAACAAAGGGAGGAAGAGAAGGAAAGAAGAAGGGAGUGAAAGAAUUGGGGGAUUGGGGGGAGAAGAGGAAAUAGGAGAGGACUGGAGGGAGGGAAGGGAAGGGGAAAAAAACCUAGGAGGUGGCUUGGGCCCUUUGGCCCUCAAAUCCCUAGGGGCAAAGGGCUCUCAGAUGUGGGGCAGGGUUGGGAGGAGGAGUGCUGCAGGGAUGGCUCCCUCACCCAGCAGCCAGAAAGUCCUGAGUGCUCAGGACAGCCCAAGAAUGAUAUACAGGGUGGGCCCAACCUCCUAUGGCCCCUGCACCUCCCUCCCAGCAGGACACUGCAACUCUCCAUCCACUCCUCCCCACUACCAAAAGAACACAAAAAUAGGAGGAUGGACUGCUGGUGGUCGGUGGUCCACAAACAGAUGGCCUCAUUUCAACUCCAUCCUCAGCCUGGAUCCUGCCUGGGUAUGAAUCCACCUGGCCCAGUAAGCCAGGCCAGGUACAGGAGGGGCACCCAGGCUUGUCUGCAGGCAACACCAGCAGCACUACCACUCUGUGAUCAGCUUGGGGCAUCCUGCCCUUAGGAUCAAACACUAGUGUCAGGGGUGUCCUCAUCAGAGUGAGUCUGCCUUUCAUGAAUGUGGGAUAUAGCCAUGCCUGCAGGGUUAUACUCC